GCAUGGUGAGAGACGUGUGGGCAUUAUUAGUGGCCCUUUAAAGGCGUUGCCUUUUCUUUCUCAAUGCUGACAAACCAUUUUGGAGGGAACCAUCCCCUGUUGCUUCCUAUCAUCGAUCCCCGUGCAAGCCCCUGCAUUGUGCAAGUGCAUUAAUUAAAGACCAUUCAUUUAACAAAAGCACAUUGUAUGUUCAGGAAAGGAAGAUUAGAAAUAUGAAUCAGUAACCAAAGCCCAUUUCCGCCACGAUAUCGGGAGAAGUGGUGGGGCGGGAGGGGCGGUCAGACACGCCGAGAAGGACGGAGCAGUUUGGGACAGAAGCCCUGAACAGGUUUACAUUGCGAAGAGCCCGUUGUCGGUGUCUGAAUGUGCAGCGUUCUGCCCGGCCCUCCCCUCUCCUUUCCGAGGGGUCGAACCCGCAGUGACCCGGGGCUGAGCCCCUGCCCGGGGACCAUCGCCCCAAAUGGGAUUUUCCAGCUGUCUCUGUACACACACAUAGGGGCACAGGCACACGCAUGUUUACUCAUCCUUCCCCAUCCCUUCCCCAUUAGAUUUUUGCAGCCCAAAGGAAAACCCAGCUGGUCCGGCCAGGCCGGCCGCGACACGAGCGUGGCUUAUCGCGAUAAGGUGGAAGAGGAGCACGGAGGUUACGCGGGGGAAGGAGAGAAGCCGGCUCCCCAGCAUCGCCCACAUGACUGCUAAGCGGCUCCAGCUCCGCUAAAACCUCUGGGCCAUAUGUUAGUUUAUUUAUACCCUCUGUCUUUUCCCGUGUCGCCUGGUGCAAGGAUAUUCCUGGGAUACAAAUGAAAGUAAGCAAGAGUGAACAAACACGGGAGUGCCUGCUAAAGGGAUAUGUAACAUCGCAGAGAUCCCAACAGAGCACGGCGUUCCCAUGGUUAUAAGGGGGCCAGAAUGGCAAUUAAAGCUUUUAGUUAAAACCCUCAGAUUUUUAAUGCUGAAUGACACAUUGACUCCAUUUUCUGGUGGAUGAUUUAGAGUUUUUCACGAUUACUCUGGGGAAGGAGAAGGAGGGGGGACAACAAAAGUCACCACAAAAAAAAACCAACUCUUUCACAUUAAAAAACAAAAACAAAACCCAACCAAACAACGAACCAGCACGAGAUCAAGGUGUUCCUAAUGAUGGCAACAGCAUAUAAAAACCUCUGCAGUUUCCCCGUGACUCUGAAUUGGGUCUCGUCGUGUUCUGAGCGGUUCGAGGAAUGGGAGAGGGUCGGGACCCGCGGCUCUGGGCAUCGGGCUCCUUCCUCAGCCGCGGCUGGGAUCACGUUGGGUCAAUGCCACCCGGAGGAUCGGCUCCUCGCCGCUGCCAAACCUUCUCCGGGUCGCUGUGUCAGUGAUGCGCGGACGUGGAGAGACACCCCGGGGUGCACGGGGGGAGGGUGGGAGUCCCGACAGCGUUCCCCGACGGCACUGCGCUGCCAGCGGCCCCUGCCCCCACUCUGCUGCCCCUCGGGAUACCUGCUUGAGCCCGCCCUGAAGCCAAACAAAAGCGCACAUCUCCCCCCUUCCUCCCUCCCUCCCUCCUUCCCUCCCUCCCCACCCAGCAGUUUCGGGAAGACAAAAAAAAAAAAAAAAAAAAAAAAAAAAAAAAAAAAAAAAAAAAAAAAUUCUCCAACUUUUGACCAGCCUCUGCUGGCUUAAAUUAUCCUCUACCCUGGGGGGCAUCAGUGUAGCAAUGGGAGUUCCCGCGGGCGGCGGGGAAACGGGGUGCAGCUGAACUCGGGCAUAGCCGGGCUGCUCUGCCGCUGCCCUGCUGCUCCUCCAGGGCCGGGGGUGGUGGGGCUGGAAGUCCUGGAAGGGAACUCAGAGGGAGGGCUCGAAGGGGAGGUUUUGUUCUCUCUACCUGAAGACGGAUUAAUCCUCGCGUAUAGCUGAUAAAGAUGAAGAUCUUGCUGGGAGAAUGGGGAAAAAUCGGUAGGAAAAGAAGGAAGGAGUCACUGGAUUGUUAUUGUCUGGAAAGCAGGCCACCUUUAAAAACCUGUUGUAGAAAUACAGAGACUCCUUUAAGUGUGAAAUAUCAUUUCAUUGUAAAUAGCCAAAAAAGAGUCGGUAAUCCAACUUCCGGAAACUGUUCUGAAUUAUUUCAGCAGACUCUUUUAAAAGGGGAUUAGCAGGGCUUUAGGGGCAAAAUCCUUCUGUUUUAUUCAAUCUCUGAUUUUAUGUUAUAAUUACUAGAUGUAAAGACUCGCGAAUUAGUAUGCAGGCGUCGUCCAGACAUUAUGCAGGUGCUAUUCUAAUCAUUCAGCUUUUUAAUUAAGGAACGAGGUAAGAAAACAGAAUCAUAAAAACACUUUUGUGAGAGCUGAGAAAAUCGUGAGCGACUGCAUGAAUAAAGCCUUUAUACCUUACCCUGACAGGUCAGACACCAAUUGCCUGACUUACGACCUUUUCUUGCUGAAACAAUGGUUAACAGCUUUCUCACCUUGUUCCCAUUAUAGCCUUUAUUCUCGGAGAGAAUUUAUGGAAAUGGCCCCCAAAUGCUUACGCUAAAGAGGGGAUGCAGAAAGAUAUUGCAAUUUUAAUUGGUGCGUGUCCCGUGUAAAGAUACUUUCUUUGUGGGUCGUUCUGAAGCGGAGGGUCUCAGUCCGGCACGGGAAUUUGGGCGGACCGAGGUGCUUUGAGGGGGAGCACAGCAGCCCAGCGCCGCUGGAAGUUGCCGGGAUGCCCGGGCAGCCGGAGCGGCGGGGCCGGCGCCGGUCCCCCUUUGUUCAGCGCAUCAGAAGGCAUCGUGCUCCUUGAUCCCGCAAUGCAAACUUCAAGCCUUUGUGGUCUUU
Molecule: long non-coding RNA, 2792 nt
Filed under: Gallus gallus (chicken)
Lineage: Eukaryota; Metazoa; Chordata; Aves; Galliformes; Phasianidae
Description: lncRNA (ENSGALG00010018663.1)
Source: RNAcentral